RNAcentral lists this ribosomal RNA (497 nucleotides) under uncultured bacterium. RNAcentral's name for it is "partial 16S ribosomal RNA". It matches the Rfam family "Bacterial small subunit ribosomal RNA", at positions 28 to 507 of the family's 1533-position model. The record is from RNAcentral.
GAUGAACGCUGGCGGCGUGCCUAAUACAUGCAAGUCGAGCGAACGGACGAGAAGCUUGCUUCUCUGAUGUUAGCGGCGGACGGGUGAGUAACACGUGGAUAACCUACCUAUAAGACUGGGAUAACUUCGGGAAACCGGAGCUAAUACCUGAUAAUAUUUUGAACCGCAUGGUUCAAAAGUGAAAGACGGUCUUGCUGUCACUUAUAGAUGGAUCCGCGCUGCAUUAGCUAGUUGGUAAGGUAACGGCUUACCAAGGCAACGAUGCAUAGCCGACCUGAGAGGGUGAUCGACCACACUGGAACUGAGACACGGUCCAGACUCCUACGGGAGGCAGCAGUAGGGAAUCUUCCGCAAUGGGCGAAAGCCUGACGGAGCAACGCCGCGUGAGUGAUGAAGGUCUUCGGAUCGUAAAACUCUGUUAUUAGGGAAGAACAUAUGUGUAAGUAACUGUGCACAUCUUGACGGUACCUAAUCAGAAAGCCACGGCUAACUACGUG